This 390-nucleotide ribosomal RNA is filed under the name uncultured bacterium. RNAcentral's name for it is "bacterial SSU rRNA". It matches the Rfam family "Bacterial small subunit ribosomal RNA", at positions 355 to 762 of the family's 1533-position model. The record is from RNAcentral.
UCGGGAAUUUUGGGCAAUGGGCGAAAGCCUGACCCAGCAACGCCGCGUGAGGGAUGAAGUAUUUCGGUAUGUAAACCUCGAAAGAAUGGGAAGAAUAAAUGACGGUACCAUUUAUAAGCUCCGGCUAACUACGUGCCAGCAGCCGCGGUAAUACGUAGGGAGCAAGCGUUGUUCGGAUUUACUGGGCGUAAAGGGCGCGUAGGCGGCGCGGUAAGUCACUUGUGAAAUCUCUGAGCUUAACUCAGAACGGCCAAGUGAUACUGCUGUGCUAGAGUGCGGAAGAGGCAACCGGAAUUCUUGGUGUAGCGGUGAAAUGCGUAGAUAUCAAGAGGAACACCAGAGCCGAAGGCGGGUUGCCGGGCCGACACUGACGCUGAUGCGCGAAAGCCA